UCCUUCUCUGAUGCGUGCUCUCUUCGAUCCGUAAUGGCGCCGCCGUCGCCAGCGGAUAGUCUUCUUCUCCGGCCACCAUCCGUCGCCCUUUUCUCCUUCCCCUCCCCAUCCGGCCUUAAUCUUCUCCGGCGUCACCCGUAGCCUUCUCAAUCCCCAACCUCCGCUCUCUGAUUUGGAUCGAAGUUGGAUUUGGAUCAAAGUUAGAGUCCGUGUCCUUCUCCAGCACAAAGCCAUGGAGCAACUUGGCUGCCAUAAGAAGGAAGGAGCCUCGACCGGAAUCUCUAUCAGGUUGCGUCGCCAGAACCUCCAUCGAGCUCCGCCGAGUUCGCCGGCUGAAGAAGAACAUCCGUCAAGUCGUACAAUGUCGCCUCCGCUGAGUUCGCCGGAGGAACAACAUCCGCCGUCCGAACGUGCUUCACCAGAGGUAUGCAUCCCCUAAAUAUAAUCAGUUGAUAGAAGCCUCUGAUUCAGUUUACGUUUCUGAUUGCUGCCACUUCCGAUUGCUCUUGUUCAGUUUAUUGUUUCUGAAUUGACCAGUAGAUAAAAGCCCCUGAAAUCUGACCCACCUAUGUAUUGGCCAGAAGAAGCCCCUGACUUUGUGUUAUGCACCAAGAUGGCUUAGCAUCAGAUGUUUCCUGUGUCAAUUUCUACUUUGUUUUAUGGAACAAUUUGUUUCUGAAUUGGUCCGUAGAUAGAAGCCCAUGAAAUCUGACCCAUCUAUUGACUGGUAAAUAGAAGCCCCUGAUUUUGUGUUAUACACCAAGAUGGCUUAGUGCCAGAUGUUUCCUGUGUUAAUUUCUACUUUGUUUUAUGAAACAAUUCAUACAAUGGUGCACAAUAUGGCAAAAAUAUAUAUGCAGUAAUGAUUUAUCUUGAUAGAGAUGCACUGGAUUAGCAAGUAGUUUUAGUUUUUUUUUCUAGAAGAUAGCUCAAGUACUUAAGCUUCCGCAAUCAUGAAACAAAAGGUGUCCUGCAGCUGCUCAACCUAAUUAAGUAACUAAAAUAAAAGCGAACAAUAGUCAGGUUCUAUUAGCUUCACAUCUAUUAACCUAUAUCUUGAUAUAGAUACACUGGAUUCGCAAGUAGUUUUAGUAUUUUUUCUAGAUAGCUCAAGUAUUAAGCUUCUGCGAUCAUGAAAAACAAAAGAAGGUGUUCUGUCCGCUGAUCAAGCUAAUUAAGUAACAAAAAUAAAAGGGACCAGAGUCAGGUUCCAGUAACCAAAUGCUUCACAUCUAUUAACCUGUACUCAUAUUAGUCCAACGUUGUUCGGUAUUGCUUGGAGAUUUUCCCUUUUUUACAAAUCAAAAACAUUAUGUGUAACCUGGGCGUGUACUAAAGUUGCAUGUACUUUUUAAUAACAAACUUGCUAGAGGAAGCAGAUUUGGGGCUGCGCUCUGGUCUGCGGCGAGCUGGAUAGGGGAAGCAUUUAAUCCGAUCAAGGCCACCAACUAGACAAGAAGAAUCGAAUAACUCUUUACUGAUUACCAUGGGAGGCAAGCCAAAAUCUGACAGCGAGCACAGCUAUUGUGGUGCCUGGUUGCAUCCCUUGGUAAUUAUUUUAAUCUUGCUUUGGUGGUGUAUCCGUCGAUCUAGAGAAUAUUAUUCUGCAUUAUUUUCAACUGUUACUUUUUAUCUAUUUGCCUUAUGGCCGUUUGGUUAUCACUCAAAAAGAGGCCCAACAAUCUCUUUUGGGGACUUCUUAUCACCACGUAUAUGAUCUUAUUGAACUACAUCAAGAACUACAAUCCCCAAAAGGUCAUAUAUGCUUGAUGUGCAUGAACAUAUGGUGUAUCUUUAACACCAUUCAUUUUCAACCACUAAAAUAGUAAAAGUUGUUUGAUUGGUAGAUUAUUUUUUAGUUUUCUAAACAAAUUUAUUUGAGCACAAGGUUUCUAGACACAUUUUUGUAGAUCAGAUGUACACUUGGUCAGCACUAAAGCUCUCCAAAGAUCUUCAUAUUUUGCAAACAAAACUCCCAAAUCGAGAGGAGAUAACAAACACCAGUACAGCUAUGUUUCCAUUGUAUGAGUAGCCUCUGCAACCAGCCAACUGAAGGAUGUGGCAGCUCACGUAAACAUUGUGGUUAAUAUCAUACGGCGGACUGUUCGGUGCCCCUAAGGUGCCAACUCCUUCAGGUCCAUAUUGCCCAUUAAAGUCGGACACAACGGAGCACAUAUCUUCCUUGCCUUUCUACUUUGAUGCAGGUGGAGCAUCUAAUAAGAAUUUAUCUCUACCAGUUUCAUCAGCAAAUUGCUGGUCUUCAUGGAUAAUAAGCAGAUCUGAUUCUUCUAAUGAAGCAUUUCAUAGCCUAACUUCAGUGUCAUGCUUGAAGCCAUCAGAAUCUGAACCAGUUUCUGACUAAUUAUAAUCAUCCUAUCAGCAAGGCUCUCCAUACAAAAUUUGUUUUUAUCUGAAGACAAGGGAUCAUCAAUAGAACAAUUGUAUUUCCUAGCUCUAGCACCCCUCUGCUGAUUUCUUUGAUUUGUUCUUGUCAGUACCACCCCGGUGGUAUUUUCCCCUGGAAUGCCUUAAACUUCUAUGGGAGUGUGAAGAUGAAUGGUGAGAACUUUUUAUCUCUGAAAUGUUUUGAUUCAUCUUCUCUGUAUUUUCUGUGUUGCAAGAAGAAUCAUCUCUGUCAUACUCCACGACAUCAGAUGUCUAGAUUUCUUGUGAUUACCUAUUGUCAAUAUCUAGCAUUUCAUCUUCAGAUACAGAUGAACCCUUUUUACAGACCUUUCCUCUUGCGAUUACCCAUUGUCAAUAUACAGAUGAAUGGCAACAACAUAAGUAUCUGCAUUCUCAUCUUCCACUGCGUCCUUUACAGACCUUUCAUCUAUACAACCUCCAUCAGAUCUUUUUUUUGGGCGUCGGCGCUACGCGUCUAUCAAUGUAUGAUCUUUCUUUGUCAUCCUGCAUCUGGGAUUAUAAGAUUCAGAAGACUUUUGGAAGGUUUGGUGUUACCUAAUGUUAUUUUUCUUUCUUUAAUUAAUAUCUCUAUUGUUGGUCUGUCCCCUCUUACUUCUACAACUCUGAAAUUUUAGUUAGAUGCCACGGUUGUCAAAAGCAUUCAAACUGCAUCCUUUAAUAUUUUCAGCCAAGAUUAUUCAUAGCCUCCCCAAUUAUGUGUCUUUUGUUAUGGACGAUCUUUUUUUUUGUAGGGACGUCAUUGAUGAUCUUCAAGAGUAUGUAUUUUGACAAAAUUAUUGUUUAUUCCCGUUGCAACGCACGGGCAUGUUUCCUUUUUUUUUAAAUGGAACACUUGUAUUCCAUUACGACACGGCCAAAUCGCCGGUCACCGCACUGAUUACAUCUUCAGGGUAGCUUGUGAACCAUUCACAGUGUUCAUCAUGAGCUAAACCUGCACCCAUAGAAGCCAACACAUGUGCUGGCUUGUUACAAGAUCUUGGAACAUAGACUACAGAGGCCUCUAUAAAGAGUGCUAAGCUUGAACUUAAUAUCGCUGAACAUGAUUCCUAAGGGCGCCAGGUCAUAGGCUGUAGAUGUCACAGCUUGUUUGAGCACGAGGCAGUCUGUUUCAAAAACAACACGUCCAACACCCAAACGAUCAGCCAGAGAGAUGGCCUGUAGAAGAGCAUAAGCUUCAGCGUGAAGAGCAUCCGAGCAGUCAUGUUUUCCGCCAGCUGCUGCAAACCGGACAUCCGGCGUUUCAUCUCUGCAGAUAAUACCCCAACCACCUGCUACUGUUUGUUCACAAAAGGAUGCAUCCGUGUUGAUCUUGACCAAGUCAUUCGAUGGUUUCUCCCAUCUACAUUGCUGCACUAUUUCUGGUUUGGGUUUUGGCACCAGGAAUUCAAACCAUUCAUCAACAUGGUGCUUGACAGUAUACCUGAAGGCCUCAACCUCGAGUCUCUUCUCGCCAUGGUUACCUUUGUUUCGCUCCGACCAUCAGCACCACAGCAACGCCACUGCUAGAAGCAUACGUUCCCCCGGGAGGCUAAAGAUUACUGACAAGCACUCUUUGGGUGAAGCACAAUCUAGCAGCUUGACUCGGACGUCCUCUAGAAGCAGAGCACGUCAUCGUUGCUUGACAUGUUUCCUAGUAAUAAUAAUAAUAAUAAUAAUAAUAAUAAUAAUAAUAAUAAUAAUAAUAUAUACAUAUAUAUUAUAUGUUAAUAUUAAUAUUAUUUUUAAUAAUAAAGCACGGGUUGACUUUGCCGGGCUCACCGUCGCCUCCUUUUUACACAAAGGUCCGUGUGAUUUUUAUUUAUUGAACCCGCAGUCCCUAUUUAAGUGGAUAUCUAAGAAAACGUUUCAUUUUUACUGAAAGAACCCUGUGUUAUUUAGUAUUCAACCCGCAGUCACGCCCUACGUUAAAAACAACAGAGCUUCUACCUGUACGGAGCCGUCGAGGAGGAGGAGGGUUCCGGCGGCGGUCGUUGACGCGGGCUUGACGGAGAGGACGGGAUUUGGCGACGGCGCUCCGGAAAAAAAAGGUCACCUGCCUCCUCUCUUACCCCAUGCCUCCAGCGCUUCGCCUCGCUUUGCACCGGCGGCGGCCCACCCCGCCGUCCACCUCGCAUUGCCUCGCGCCGGUGGCGGCUGGUGGCAGGUCGACCUCCACCGCCCCUCUGCCCUUGCCCCCGCCCCCCGCGUGCACCAUCUAGCACCACCAACCCCGCUGCUCCCUCCCCUCCCCCAUCCCGAUCUAGAAGCCUAACCCGCCCCUCUCUGAGCACAGCGUGCUCCGACGGCGGCUCCUCCUGGCCAGAUCGAGGCACGGAGACCUGUGGGAUCCCCUCCUUCGGCAGGACCUCCUCAUCUGGUGAGAUCCCCUCCCCAUGUCUGAUGCCUCAAACCGUUCGGCAAGCACCACCAAGAUUUUUUUACUGAGUAAUUAAUGUAUUGAAUGCAAGAUUGCAUUCUUGCACGGACAGAGAGUGGAACACCACCUUCAGUUUCUCAUCUGAUCCCACUUCUGGACUCCAUGAAUGAAGUAAGAUAACAAUCCAUUGGUCAAUUACAUUGCCUCUUUAGAUGGUUUUAAGUGGGCAUCAGACUUGGUUUAGAUGGCCUUUGUUGUGAAAGAAAACUUAUCUUUCUAAAGACUGUACUCUGAAUCUUACAUCUCAUACUUGAUUUUUUUUUUGCAUAUUUUUUUAGGCCUGGUGAGUAUCCAAUGACAUGGGAAAUUAAAGAUUUGCAUGAGACUGACGAUUGUGAUUUUGGCCCUGUACUGAAUAAUUUUGGGAGUGACUGGGUGAUGAUGAUUACAAGCCAGGUAACUGAAUGAGUCCUUCGGCCGCUGGCUAGCUAGUUGUUCUUAUCUUACCAUUAUAUGUCUUCCUCAGUAUUGAUUUGUGAAUUAUUUCUUUUUUCAAACUAUGCAGGCGGACUGCAUGUGAUGAGUUAAGGCACAAGAACUACGACCAUUUUAGCUCCAGCAGUAAGUACACAACCAAUCAACAAUGCAUUUUCACGACCCAGGCUUCUGAAUUUUGACUGACAGGCUCGCUGGCACAGCCACAUAAUCUCGCGCAUUCAAAUUGCUAGCUACACGAAAUACGCCCAGAUCUACGAGUAGAAAUCCAAG
RNAcentral lists this long non-coding RNA (5551 nucleotides) under Triticum aestivum (bread wheat). RNAcentral's name for it is "long non-coding RNA (TAES_LNC024785)". The record is from RNAcentral. Lineage: Eukaryota; Viridiplantae; Streptophyta; Magnoliopsida; Poales; Poaceae.